Molecule: unclassified non-coding RNA, 232 nt
Filed under: uncultured fungus
Lineage: Eukaryota; Fungi
Description: sequence contains ITS1
Source: RNAcentral
GUAUUGAAUUUGUAACUCCAAAUCAAUGCUACUUAUCAGGCAAGAACUUCUUGUCAAUUUCUCUGUUUCUGUUUCCUAGUCAUGUAUGUUUGUUUGUUCAGAAAAGACCGGAAAAGACAAGAAGAAGAAAAAAGAGUCUGAAAGAGCUCUUCCCCCCCCCUUCUUCCCCUCCCCAAUCUUUUCUGUUGUUUAUAAUUCUUUGAUGAUCCCUCCGCAGGUUCACCUACGGAGA